GACGAACGCUGGCGGCGUGCUUAACACAUGCAAGUCGAACGGAAAGGUCCUGCUUUUGUGGGGUGCUCGAGUGGCGAAAGGGUGAGUAACACGUGAGUACCCUGCCCUUGACUUUGGGAUAACUUCAGGAAACUGGGGCUAAUACCGGAUAGGAGCUCCUGCUGCAUGGUGGGGGUUGGAAAGUUUCGGCGGUUGGGGAUGGGCUCGCGGCUUAUCAGCUUGUUGGUGGGGUAGUGGCUUAACAAGUCUUUGACGGUUAGCUGAUGUGAGAGGAUGACCAGCCAGACGGGGAGUGAGAGACGGGCCAGAAUCCUACGGGAGGAAGCAGUAAGGAAUAGUGGUGAAUGGACGCAAGUCUGAAACAGCCAUGCCGCGUGAAGGAGUAAGGUCCUCGGGAUUGUAAACUUCUUUUAUAUGGGACGAAAAAAGGUCUUUCUAGACCCCUUGACGGUACCAUAUGAAUAAGCACCGGCUAACUCCGUG
This 483-nucleotide ribosomal RNA is filed under the name uncultured bacterium. RNAcentral describes it as "partial 16S ribosomal RNA". It matches the Rfam family "Bacterial small subunit ribosomal RNA", at positions 28 to 507 of the family's 1533-position model. The record is from RNAcentral.